GAGCAAUCUGUGUGACUGCGUACCUUUUGUAUAAUGGGUCAGCGACUUAUAUUCUGUAGCAAGGUUAACCGAAUAGGGGAGCCGAAGGGAAACCGAGUCUUAACUGGGCGUUAAGUUGCAGGGUAUAGACCCGAAACCCGGUGAUCUAGCCAUGGGCAGGUUGAAGGUUGGGUAACACUAACUGGAGGACCGAACCGACUAAUGUUGAAAAAUUAGCGGAUGACUUGUGGCUGGGGGUGAAAGGCCAAUCAAACCGGGAGAUAGCUGGUUCUCCCCGAAAGCUAUUUAGGUAGCGCCUCGUGAAUUCAUCUCCGGGGGUAGAGCACUGUUUCGGCAAGGGGGUCAUCCCGACUUACCAACCCGAUGCAAACUGCGAAUACCGGAGAAUGUUAUCACGGGAGACACACGGCGGGUGCUAACGUCCGUCGUGAAGAGGGAAACAACCCAGACCGCCAGCUAAGGUCCCAAAGUCAUGGUUAAGUGGGAAACGAUGUGGGAAGGCCCAGACAGCCAGGAUGUUGGCUUAGAAGCAGCCAUCAUUUAAAGAAAGCGUAAUAGCUCACUGGUCGAGUCGGCCUGCGCGGAAGAUGUAACGGGGCUAAACCAUGCACCGAAGCUGCGGCAGCGACGCUGAUGCGUUGUUGGGUAGGGGAGCGUUCUGUAAGCCUGUGAAGGUGUGCUGUGAGGCAUGCUGGAGGUAUCAGAAGUGCGAAUGCUGACAUAAGUAACGAUAAAGCGGGUGAAAAGCCCGCUCGCCGGAAGACCAAGGGUUCCUGUCCAACGUUAAUCGGGGCAGGGUGAGUCGACCCCUAAGGCGAGGCCGAAAGGCGUAGUCGAUGGGAAACAGGUUAAUAUUCCUGUACUUGGUGUUACUGCGAAGGGGGGACGGAGAAGGCUAUGUUGGCCGGGCGACGGUUGUCCCGGUUUAAGCGUGUAGGCUGGUUUUCCAGGCAAAUCCGGAAAAUCAAGGCUGAGGCGUGAUGACGAGGCACUACGGUGCUGAAGCAACAAAUGCCCUGCUUCCAGGAAAAGCCUCUAAGCAUCAGGUAACAUCAAAUCGUACCCCAAACCGACACAGGUGGUCAGGUAGAGAAUACCAAGGCGCUUGAGAGAACUCGGGUGAAGGAACUAGGCAAAAUGGUGCCGUAACUUCGGGAGAAGGCACGCUGAUAUGUAGGUGAAGUCCCUCGCGGAUGGAGCUGAAAUCAGUCGAAGAUACCAGCUGGCUGCAACUGUUUAUUAAAAACACAGCACUGUGCAAACACGAAAGUGGACGUAUACGGUGUGACGCCUGCCCGGUGCCGGAAGGUUAAUUGAUGGGGUCAGCGCAAGCGAAGCUCUUGAUCGAAGCCCCGGUAAACGGCGGCCGUAACUAUAACGGUCCUAAGGUAGCGAAAUUCCUUGUCGGGUAAGUUCCGACCUGCACGAAUGGCGUAAUGAUGGCCAGGCUGUCUCCACCCGAGACUCAGUGAAAUUGAACUCGCUGUGAAGAUGCAGUGUACCCGCGGCAAGACGGAAAGACCCCGUGAACCUUUACUAUAGCUUGACACUGAACAUUGAGCCUUGAUGUGUAGGAUAGGUGGGAGGCUUUGAAGUGUGG
Molecule: ribosomal RNA, 1600 nt
Filed under: Escherichia coli
Lineage: Bacteria; Pseudomonadati; Pseudomonadota; Gammaproteobacteria; Enterobacterales; Enterobacteriaceae
Description: partial 23S ribosomal RNA
Rfam family: Bacterial large subunit ribosomal RNA
Source: RNAcentral